CCCUUAGAUGUCCUGGGCCUCACGCGCGUUACACUGAUGCAUUCAACGAGCUUAUAACCUUGGCCGAGAGGCCUGGGCAAUCUUGUUAACGUGCAUCGUGAUAGGGAUAGAUUAUUGAAAUUAUUAAUCUUGAACGAGGAAUUCCUAGUAAACGCAGAUCAUCAAUCUGCAUUGAUUACGUCCCUGCCCUUUGUACACACCGCCCGUCGCACCUACCGAUUGGAUGGUCCGGUGAAGCCUCGGGAUUGUGGUUCUUGCCGCUUUAUUGUGGCGUGACCGCGAGAACUUGUCUAAACCUUAUCAUCUAGAGGAAGGUGAAGUCGUAACA
RNAcentral lists this ribosomal RNA (328 nucleotides) under uncultured eukaryote. RNAcentral's name for it is "partial 18S ribosomal RNA". It matches the Rfam family "Eukaryotic small subunit ribosomal RNA", at positions 1470 to 1796 of the family's 1831-position model. The record is from RNAcentral.